AACGAACGCUGGUGGCAUGCCUAACACAUGCAAGUCGUACGUGAAAGUCCUUCGGGAUGAGUAGAGUGGCGCACGGGUUAGUAAUACAUAGGAACGUACCUAUAGGUGGGGAAUAACCGAGGGAAACUUCGGCUAAUACCGCAUGAUCUGGUAACAGUAAAGAUGGGCUCUAUACUAUGCUAUCGCCGAUAGAGCGGCCUAUGUCCCAUUAGCUAGUUGGUAGGGUAAUGGCCUACCAAGGCUACGAUGGGUAGCUGGUCUGAGAGGACGACCAGCCACACUGGAACUGAGACACGGUCCAGACUCCUACGGGAGGCAGCAGUGGGGAAUUUUGGACAAUGGGCGCAAGCCUGAUCCAGCAAUGCCGCGUGCAGGAUGAAGGCCUUCGGGUUGUAAACUGCUUUUGUACGGAACGAAACGGCCCUUUCUAAUACAGGGGGCUAAUGACGGUACCGUAAGAAUAAGCACCGGCUAACUACGUGCCAGCAGCCGCAGUAA
This 498-nucleotide ribosomal RNA is filed under the name uncultured bacterium. RNAcentral's name for it is "partial 16S ribosomal RNA". It matches the Rfam family "Bacterial small subunit ribosomal RNA", at positions 29 to 523 of the family's 1533-position model. The record is from RNAcentral.